RNAcentral lists this ribosomal RNA (94 nucleotides) under Herbaspirillum sp. RNAcentral describes it as "partial 16S ribosomal RNA". It matches the Rfam family "Bacterial small subunit ribosomal RNA", at positions 1 to 87 of the family's 1533-position model. The record is from RNAcentral. Lineage: Bacteria; Pseudomonadati; Pseudomonadota; Betaproteobacteria; Burkholderiales; Oxalobacteraceae.
AGAUUAAACUAAAGAGUUUGAUCCUGGCUCAGAUUGAACGCUGGCGGCAUGCCUUACACAUGCAAGUCGAACGGCAGCAUAGGAGCUUGCUCCU